RNAcentral lists this ribosomal RNA (330 nucleotides) under Triticum aestivum (bread wheat). RNAcentral describes it as "partial small subunit ribosomal RNA". The record is from RNAcentral. Lineage: Eukaryota; Viridiplantae; Streptophyta; Magnoliopsida; Poales; Poaceae.
AUGGAGGCGCUUUCUAAGAUCCGUGCUGAGGAGACUCGCCUCCGUGGCGUUGGUUUACUUGAGGUUCCCUCUGUGCUCGCUACUCGAGUUCCUGCUAUGCCUGCUGCACCGACUCCUUCCCACUCGAGUGCUCCGCCGCUCUUGCCUACUCCUACGGGCGGCCUGGGUCGGUCUCGUCCUCAUUGCGGCUACUGCAAGAUGGAUGGUCAUGUUGAGUCUCGGUGCUUCCAGAAGAAGAAACACCUGCGUAAGGCGCGAUCAUCAGCUUCAGGGACUUCUUCUACUUCGACAUCUUCAGCCACCGCCUUGACUGAGCAGGAUAUUUUGUGA